Molecule: ribosomal RNA, 252 nt
Filed under: uncultured bacterium
Lineage: Bacteria
Description: partial 16S ribosomal RNA
Rfam family: Bacterial small subunit ribosomal RNA
Source: RNAcentral
UACGUAGGUGGCAAGCGUUGUCCGGAAUUAUUGGGCGUAAAGCGCGCGCAGGCGGUCCUUUAAGUCUGAUGUGAAAGCCACGGCUCAACCGUGGAGGGUCAUUGGAAACUGGGGGACUUGAGUGCAGGAGAGAAGAGUGGAAUUCCACGUGUAGCGGUGAAAUGCGUAGAUAUUGGGAGGAACACCAGUGGCGAAGGCGGCUCACUGGACCGGUACUGACGCUGAGGCGCGAAAGCGUGGGGAGCAAACGGG